AAGAUUUUAAUUGAAUGCUAAAAGAAUGGAAAUUUAAAAAAAAACUUUUUUAAAAAUAAAAAUUGAAUUUUUUUUAAUUUGUGCAAAAACAAUUAUUAUUAUUAAAGACAAGAAGACCCUAAGAAUUUAUGAUUUUGUAAUUAGAAUUUUUUUCAAAAAAUCUUGAUUGGGGCGAUCAAAAAAUAUUAAUAACUUUUUAAAUUUAAAUUGAUCUAUUAUUAAUAAACUAAUGAAUUAAAUACUCUAGGGAUAACAGCGUAAUAAUUUUUGAUAGAUCUUAUUGACAAAAUAGUUUGCGACCUCGAUGUUGGAUUAGGAUCCUUUUUUAAUGAAAAAAUUAAAAAAAGAAGUUUGUUCAACUUUUAAAUUCCUACUU
Molecule: ribosomal RNA, 376 nt
Filed under: Hyalomma anatolicum
Lineage: Eukaryota; Metazoa; Arthropoda; Arachnida; Ixodida; Ixodidae
Description: partial large subunit ribosomal RNA
Source: RNAcentral